CACGGCACUGCAGGCCAUGCUC
Molecule: microRNA, 22 nt
Filed under: Oreochromis niloticus (Nile tilapia)
Lineage: Eukaryota; Metazoa; Chordata; Actinopteri; Cichliformes; Cichlidae
Description: oni-miR-10548d
Source: miRBase by way of RNAcentral